UACGUAGGGCGCAAGCGUUGUCCGGAAUUAUUGGGCGUAAAGAGCUCGUAGGCGGCCUGUUGCGUCCGCUGUGAAAUCCCGGGGCUUAACCCCGGGCGUGCAGUGGAUACGGGCGGGCUGGAGGCAGGCAGGGGAGAACGGAAUUCCUGGUGUAGCGGUGAAAUGCGCAGAUAUCGUAAGGAAGACCAGUGGCGAAGGCGGGUCUCUGGACAGUUCCUGACGCUGAGGCACGAAGGUCAGGGGAGCAAACGGG
Molecule: ribosomal RNA, 253 nt
Filed under: uncultured bacterium
Lineage: Bacteria
Description: partial 16S ribosomal RNA
Rfam family: Bacterial small subunit ribosomal RNA
Source: RNAcentral